Molecule: ribosomal RNA, 253 nt
Filed under: uncultured bacterium
Lineage: Bacteria
Description: partial 16S ribosomal RNA
Rfam family: Bacterial small subunit ribosomal RNA
Source: RNAcentral
UACGUAGGGGGCAAGCGUUGUCCGGAAUCAUUGGGCGUAAAGCGCGUGUAGGCGGUUCGGCAAGUCUGCUGUGAAAGUCCAGGGCUCAACCCUGGGAUGCCGGUGGAUACUGUCGAACUAGAGUACGGAAGAGGCGAGUGGAAUUCCCGGUGUAGCGGUGAAAUGCGCAGAUAUCGGGAGGAACACCAAUUGCGAAGGCAGCUCGCUGGGACGUCACUGACGCUGAGACGCGAAAGCGUGGGGAGCAAACAGG